CAGCUUCCUACAUUGUACCUGGUGAAAGACAAGUACCUCAAUGGGAUUCAUAAUAGCCAUCACAUUCAGUGGGAAGCUGUCUGGAAUUAGCAACUACAGUCUCCAGAAGAACCGAAACUCUCCAGACAUGCAGCAUAGAACUGAAAGAGGUUCGAUCAAAAACUGCACCUGUACAUGAGGGCAAGUGGAGGAACUGAGAAGUCAAGUGACCAAAAGGGAUUUUUUCCAACUGCCCUAUGCCUACCUCCAAUGGGCCCCUGAACCCACCGUACCAAUGACAGAGAUCUGGGACUCAAAGAUGAGAAGUUGGAUACAGCCCAUUUCAUCAUAAAUUUAUCCAGCCACUACGGAGUUUAUCAGGACAGCCAACCUUAAGCAACUUCCAUAAGCCUUUUCAGAAGAUUGAGGUUACAACUAGAGGAUCAUCUAUACUGGAUUUUUUCCUGAUCAAUAGGGAAGGCUUGGUGGAGGAUGUGAAGUAAUGAGAAGGAAGCAAUCAUGAUAUGAUAGAAUUCCAGAACCUGAGAUGGGCACCAGAACCAGGGUGCUAGAUUUCAAAAAGGUGAUUCAAGACGGUGGAUUUCAACUGAUUAAUAGGCUUGGUGCCACAGGAAGACAGACUGAAGAAUAAAGGUGCCCAAGAGGGCUGGAAGCUUCUAAAGGACACAGUAUUGGAAGCCCAACAAGAAACUGUUUUGACACAGUGGAAGCACAAGAAAAAUCUUAAGAGAUCAGUGUGGCUGCACAAGGAGGUUCUAGGAUGUUUCAAAUGCAAAAGGAAAGCAUACAGGCAAUGGAAAAUUAGGCAGGGGACUGAGGAAGCAUUCUAAGAAAUAGCAAGAACCUGCAGGGACAAAAUUAGGAAUGCAAAGUUAAAAAAAAAAAAUCAGCUGCACCUGACCAGGGAAAUUAAAGAUGACAAAAAGAGUCUCCAUAAGUAUCAUGGCCAGAAAAGACCAAGGAAGCUGUGGAUCCACAGUUAAAUAGCCAAGGAACUCUUAACAGGAGAUGCAAAGAAGGCGGAGCUACCCAACAGCUACUUUGCCUCAGUCUUCACAAAAAACUGAGCUGGAAUUAGACACAAAAAAGAUUAUUUGGAUAAGGAAAGGGACAAGCUGAAGGAUGAGAUAAUAAAGAAGA
This is a long non-coding RNA of Alligator mississippiensis (American alligator), 1140 nucleotides long. RefSeq lists it as uncharacterized. NCBI's taxonomy places the organism in Eukaryota, Metazoa, Chordata, Crocodylia, Alligatoridae. The record is from RefSeq and is a predicted model, not a curated record. The transcript has 4 exons.